UAUGUUCAAAUGACUUUUAAAGGUGAAACCGCGAACGGCUCAUUACAACAGCUAUAAUUUACUUGAUCUUGAUUAUCCUACUUGGAUAACUGUGGUAAUUCUAGAGCUAAUACAUGCACCAAAGCUCCGACUYACGAACGAGCGCAUUUAUUAGACCAAAACCAAUCGGGCUUCGGCUCGUUUGUUGGUGACUCUGAAUAACUAAGCUGAUCGCACGGUCUUGCACCGGCGACGUGUCUUUCAAGUAUCUGCCUUAUCAACUUUCGAUGGUAGUUUAUGUGCCUACCAUGGUUGUAACGGGUAACGGAGAAUAAGGGUUCGACUCCGGAGAGGGAGCCUGAGAAACGGCUACCACAUCCAAGGAAGGCAGCAGGCGCGCAAAUUACCCACUCUCGGCACGAGGAGGUAGUGACGAAAAAUAACGAGACCGUUCUCUAUGAGGCCGGUUAUCGGAAUGGGUACAAUUUAAACCCUUUAACGAGGAUCUAUGAGAGGGCAAGUCUGGUGCCAGCAGCCGCGGUAAUUCCAGCUCUCAAAGUGUAUAUCGUCAUUGCUGCGGUUAAAAAGCUCGUAGUUGGAUCUGCGCCUCAGGACUCGGUCCGCCCACUGGGUGUGAACUGGGCUCCUAGGCUAAUACUGCUGGUUUUCCYUUCGUGGCCUUCACUGGUUGCGUUGGGUGGCUAGCGAGUUUACUUUGAAAAAAUUAGAGUGCUUAAAACAGGCUAUUGYCUGAAUACUCGUGCAUGGAAUAAUAGAAUAGGAYCUCGGUUCUAUUUUGUUGGUUUUCUGAACUGAGAUAAUGGUUAAGAGGGACAGACGGGGGCAUUCGUAUCGCUGCGUGAGAGGUGAAAUUCUUGGACCGCAGCGAGACGCCCUACUGCGAAAGCAUUUGCCAAGAAUGUCUUCAUUAAUCAAGAACGAAAGUCAGAGGUUCGAAGGCGAUCAGAUACCGCCCUAGUUCUGACCGUAAACGAUGCCAACUAGCGAUCCGCCGGUGGUAAAUACGCCCUGGCGGGGAGCUUCCCGGAAACGAAAGUCUUCCGGUUCCGGGGGAAGUAUGGUUGCAAAGCUGAAACUUAAAGGAAUUGACGGAAGGGCACCACCAGGAGUGGAGCCUGCGGCUUAAUUUGACUCAACACGGGAAAACUCACCCG
This 1154-nucleotide ribosomal RNA is filed under the name Falcaustra araxiana. RNAcentral's name for it is "SSU rRNA". It matches the Rfam family "Eukaryotic small subunit ribosomal RNA", at positions 60 to 1232 of the family's 1831-position model. Lineage: Eukaryota; Metazoa; Nematoda; Chromadorea; Rhabditida; Kathlaniidae. The record is from RNAcentral.